RNAcentral lists this long non-coding RNA (298 nucleotides) under Fukomys damarensis (Damara mole-rat). RNAcentral describes it as "lncRNA (ENSFDAG00000025014.1)". Lineage: Eukaryota; Metazoa; Chordata; Mammalia; Rodentia; Bathyergidae. The record is from RNAcentral.
GCCCAACUUUGAAAGAAUUCAAAUUCAGGUUGACUGUAGUUUAAUUCUCUUCUUCAGGUAUGAAGUGUACUACACAGUGAGUUCCUCAUCAAUUCCAUGAACCUCAUCACUGCCAUAAUUUCAUGAUUGGAAACACUGUUUCAGACCACUCAGUUUCUCCCCAUACUGUGCUGUCUUCUGGAGAAAAUCUAGAUUCUGUCUUCUAGCAAAACUUCACCUGCACACUCACGAUUAUGAGAUUAACUGAAAUGAUGAGAGAAAGGGCAUGUGUGGCCUUUGCAGCAGUGAACUACAACAC